GAUGAACGCUGGCGGCGUGCUUAACACAUGCAAGUCGAACGGGAAACCUUUUAUUGAAGCUUCGGCAGAUUUAGCUGGUUUCUAGUGGCGGACGGGUGAGUAACGCGUGGGUAACCUGCCCUAUACAGGGGGAUAACAACCAGAAAUGGUUGCUAAUACCGCAUAAGCGCACAGGGCCGCAUGGUCCGGUGUGAAAAACUCCGGUGGUAUAGGAUGGACCCGCGUUGGAUUAGCCAGUUGGCAGGGUAACGGCCUACCAAAGCGACGAUCCAUAGCCGGCCUGAGAGGGUGAACGGCCACAUUGGGACUGAGACACGGCCCAGACUCCUACGGGAGGCAGCAGUGGGGAAUAUUGCACAAUGGGGGAAACCCUGAUGCAGCGACGCCGCGUGAAGGAAGAAGUAUCUCGGGAUGUAAACUUCUAUCAGCAGGGAAGAUAGUGACGGUACCUGACGAAGAAGCCCCGGCUAACUACGUG
Molecule: ribosomal RNA, 478 nt
Filed under: uncultured bacterium
Lineage: Bacteria
Description: partial 16S ribosomal RNA
Rfam family: Bacterial small subunit ribosomal RNA
Source: RNAcentral